AUAACCCGUCGAAAGGCGGACUAACUCCCCAUGGUCUCCGAUGAGGACAUCCGAAUUGGAGUAAAGCUUCGCGGACAUGGAUGGGGAUGCGUCUGAUUAGGUAGUAGGCGGGGUAACGGCCCACCUAGCCUACGAUCAGUAGGGGUUCUGAGAGGAAGGUCCCCCACAUUGGAACCGAGACACGGUCCAAACUCCUACGGGAGGCAGCAGUGAGGAAUAUUGGUCAAUGGACGAGAGUCUGAACCAGCCAAGUAGCGUGCAGGAUGACGGCCCUAUGGGUUGUAAACUGCUUUUGCGCGGGGAUAACACCCUCCACGUGCUGGGGGUCUGCAGGUACCGCGCGAAUAAGGACCGGCUAAUUCCGUGCCAGCAGCCGCGGUAAUACGGAAGGUCCGGGCGUUAUCCGGAUUUAUUGGGUUUAAAGGGAGCGUAGGCCGUGAGGUAAGCGUGUUGUGAAAUGUAGGCGCCCAACGUCUGCACUGCAGCGCGAACUGCCCCACUUGAGUGCGCGCAACGCCGGCGGAACUCGUCGUGUAGCGGUGAAAUGCUUAGAUAUGACGAAGAACCCCGAUUGCGAAGGCAGCUGGCGGGAGCGUAACUGACGCUGAAGCUCGAAAGCGCGGGUAUCGAACAGGAUUAGAUACCCUGGUAGUCCGCGCGGUAAAC
Molecule: ribosomal RNA, 666 nt
Filed under: uncultured bacterium
Lineage: Bacteria
Description: bacterial SSU rRNA
Rfam family: Bacterial small subunit ribosomal RNA
Source: RNAcentral